RNAcentral lists this long non-coding RNA (1836 nucleotides) under Helianthus annuus (common sunflower). The record is from RNAcentral. Lineage: Eukaryota; Viridiplantae; Streptophyta; Magnoliopsida; Asterales; Asteraceae.
GAAGAUAACAUUGUUCUAAUUUCAAUAUAUUUGUGUGUAUGUUUAUUUUUUUUCUUUGCAAAUAUGGAACGUGGCUUAACUAUCAUCCACCGGGAUCCGUAGUUUUUGAAGGGGUUUGCUUUGUGAGUGAUGGAAUCCUAUGAAAUUAGAGAGGGGAAAGGAAGGCAACCAAGGAGUAUUACCACCUAUCUCAGUCACCACCGCCACAACUCCUCGUUUUUAGAGCUCUUUUGUUUUAACUAAAUCACCGGGGAGAACAGUGGCAAUUUUGUUUUGAUUGUUCUGAAUCCGUGAGUUACUGGUUCAUUCUGAAGGGCUUUUAGUUGAUUAUCGGUGGACAUCUGACCAGAAUACCGUCGGCUAUAUUCAGAGGACACCAUAGUUACGAAGAAAGGAGAAAGGGCAAGUAGAAGAGUCGAAUGUAUCUCAGUAUUAUAAGAGGUUACUCGGUGUCGGAAAAAUCAUGCAACUCUUUAACCAUGGCUAGACAGUAUUGGUUGGAAAUUGGAAGGAUAUAUGCUCGGUUUUGAAAGACACUAUCAAAUCUGGAGUAGGUGGGGCAGAAAAGUUGGGGGUCAAAGCGCAGAUGGAGAGGGAAAAAAUUUCUUAGUCACUCAGUUUAGAGAUGAGAUAGCAAAUCGGAUCUGGAACAAGGUGGCGGCUCAAGGUUUUAGAUGGAACCUAUGAGUUCCGAAAGAGGUCCUAUUCUUUAUCUGGAAGCUCGUGCAGGGCUGCAUCGCUAAUAAAUUGUGCUUCUGCAGCGUGGGGUUUCUAUUAUGUAACGAGAGUUUUGCGUAUUGAGGAGAGACUUGAAACUUUGGAAGUGAUGGGUUCAAAAGCAUCUCAGCUCAUAUAAAUGAUAUUACAUCCGGUUAGGAAGCAAGCAGUAGCGUGCAUGAGGUUCUUCCACCCGCGUUGGAUUCCACUUCUUAGCCACUACCUCUAAUUGACAAAACCAACCUGGCUGUGGACCUUGAUGAAGGAGUUUGAGAGCACUUUUCCAUCUAGCAAUUAGGAAGGAGGUUGCACUUUUCGACCCAUUUGACAAAACAGGUUAUUCAUGCAUGUUUAAGCUAUUUGCCAAUCAAAGGAGAUCUUAUCGAGGCUAAAGGUGUUCACGAGCUAUUUUGUUCAUUGGUCAAAAGACAAGUAUGGGCAAUGCUUUUUUUUGUUCUUCUUUACCUCUUUUUGCAUUGCUUCUAACAAACUUUGUUGUCUAUAUCACAAGUUAGACAUGGAACUGCAGCGUCCCUACAACCUAUAUGUGCAAUAAUUGUUUCUAUAUUUGAUAUAAAUAUUUGAGUAUUCUAUUAUAUCCAUGCCCUGUGAGCUGAGGGGGCUACCCUAUUGAUUACCAGCACUCAUGGUCGGGUGAAUAGUCGUAGACAGUGUGCUUUCACACAAAUAAGUUCCACUCUAUCCUUAUCCAGGACAUUGGAUUCUUAUAGCUUGGAAUUAUUGUUAAAGUGGAAUUUGUUCUUCGUUCUCAAGUGAGAGGGUUUGAGUAAAAAAUAAAAACGAGUACUUUUGCAGGUUGGGUUGGAAUUCUCAGCACAUUCUCUAUUGGGGUGAAAUAUUGAAUAUACAAGAGAUGAAUAUGACAUGAUGUGCUUUGUGUUGGCAUCACAUAAUAAACAUGGCCUAGAAGGGUACAAUCGAAGGGCAAUCUCAUGCCUGUUGGACACCUUAUGAUAAGUAUAACAUUGUAGGGUUUGUAAGCAAAUUUUCAAAGUGUGCUUGGCGGUAGUUAAAGACGGAAGAGAAUAUUAGAGGAAAAGUCAACGACAUGAAGAAAAGAAAGAUAUUAGCUUUGUUCGAGAAUUUAGUGAAAAUGGU